RNAcentral lists this ribosomal RNA (616 nucleotides) under uncultured bacterium. RNAcentral's name for it is "bacterial SSU rRNA". It matches the Rfam family "Bacterial small subunit ribosomal RNA", at positions 338 to 944 of the family's 1533-position model. The record is from RNAcentral.
CCUACGGGAGGCAGCAGUGGGGAAUUUUGGACAAUGGGCGAAAGCCUGAUCCAGCAAUGCCGCGUGAGUGAAGAAGGCCUUCGGGUUGUAAAGCUCUUUUGUCAGGGAAGAAACGGUGAGAGCUAAUAUCUCUUGCUAAUGACGGUACCUGAAGAAUAAGCACCGGCUAACUACGUGCCAGCAGCCGCGGUAAUACGUAGGGUGCAAGCGUUAAUCGGAAUUACUGGGCGUAAAGCGUGCGCAGGCGGUUUUGUAAGUCUGUCGUGAAAUCCCCGGGCUCAACCUGGGAAUUGCGAUGGAGACUGCAAGGCUAGAAUCUGGCAGAGGGGGGUAGAAUUCCACGUGUAGCAGUGAAAUGCGUAGAGAUGUGGAGGAACACCGAUGGCGAAGGCAGCCCCCUGGGUCAAGAUUGACGCUCAUGCACGAAAGCGUGGGGAGCAAACAGGAUUAGAUACCCUGGUAGUCCACGCCCUAAACGAUGUCUACUAGUUGUCGGGUUUUAAUAACUUGGUAACGCAGCUAACGCGUGAAGUAGACCGCCUGGGGAUACGGUCGCAAGAUUAAAACUUAAGAGUAGUGCGNGNGAGAGCGACGACGACGACGACGGAGGAGGAGG